RNAcentral lists this ribosomal RNA (808 nucleotides) under Agrobacterium tumefaciens. RNAcentral describes it as "bacterial SSU rRNA". It matches the Rfam family "Bacterial small subunit ribosomal RNA", at positions 59 to 918 of the family's 1533-position model. The record is from RNAcentral. Lineage: Bacteria; Pseudomonadati; Pseudomonadota; Alphaproteobacteria; Hyphomicrobiales; Rhizobiaceae.
AAGUCGACGCCCCGCAGGGGAGUGGCAGACGGGUGAGUAACGCGUGGGAACAUACCCUUUCCUGCGGAAUAGCUCCGGGAAACUGGAAUUAAUACCGCAUACGCCCUACGGGGGAAAGAUUUAUCGGGGAAGGAUUGGCCCGCGUUGGAUUAGCUAGUUGGUGGGGUAAAGGCCUACCAAGGCGACGAUCCAUAGCUGGUCUGAGAGGAUGAUCAGCCACAUUGGGACUGAGACACGGCCCAAACUCCUACGGGAGGCAGCAGUGGGGAAUAUUGGACAAUGGGCGCAAGCCUGAUCCAGCCAUGCCGCGUGAGUGAUGAAGGCCUUAGGGUUGUAAAGCUCUUUCACCGGAGAAGAUAAUGACGGUAUCCGGAGAAGAAGCCCCGGCUAACUUCGUGCCAGCAGCCGCGGUAAUACGAAGGGGGCUAGCGUUGUUCGGAAUUACUGGGCGUAAAGCGCACGUAGGCGGAUAUUUAAGUCAGGGGUGAAAUCCCAGAGCUCAACUCUGGAACUGCCUUUGAUACUGGGUAUCUUGAGUAUGGAAGAGGUAAGUGGAAUUCCGAGUGUAGAGGUGAAAUUCGUAGAUAUUCGGAGGAACACCAGUGGCGAAGGCGGCUUACUGGUCCAUUACUGACGCUGAGGUGCGAAAGCGUGGGGGAGCAAACAGGAUUAGAUACCCUGGUAGUCCACGCCGUAACGAUGAAUGUUAGCCGUCGGGCAGUAUACUGUUCGGUGGCGCAGCUAACGCAUUAAACAUUCCGCCUGGGGAGUACGGUCGCAAGAUUAAAACUCAAAGGAAUUGACGGGG